AGACAGGUUAGUUUUACCCUACUGUUGCUCGAUCAUGUGAUAGCAGUCGAGCUGAGUACGAGAGGAACGGUUCGAUCGGAUACUUGGUACUGCGCUCGAUGGAGCCGUCGAUGGCGCGAAGCUACAUCCGCGGGUUAAUGACUGAACGCCUCUAAAGUCAGAAACCUUGCUAGAAACAUGAUCUCGGCCGGGCCGCACAGCACGCUACGCUACUACUAUCCCUCGGCGCGAACACCGGGGGUACCGGAUAGCACCAUGCCCCUGCUUGCAUGCAGGGGUUCGGAAGUGCAUCCCCCGAUCGACCGUCGAUCUCUCGUCAGGUCGGCGGUCGGUGGGGGAGGGGGGUCGGUCGGGGGAUCCAUUGUAGACGACUUUGCUAACGAUAACCGGGUACUGCAAGCGGGAGAGUGUGCUGCACGAUUCGUUGAGGUUUAACCCGGGUUACCUAGAU
RNAcentral lists this ribosomal RNA (451 nucleotides) under Lotharella oceanica. Its description in RNAcentral is "partial Eukaryotic large subunit ribosomal RNA". It matches the Rfam family "Eukaryotic large subunit ribosomal RNA", at positions 2976 to 3397 of the family's 3401-position model. The record is from RNAcentral. Lineage: Eukaryota; Cercozoa; Chlorarachniophyceae.